Apus apus (common swift) is the source of this 2530-nucleotide long non-coding RNA. RefSeq lists it as uncharacterized. Lineage: Eukaryota; Metazoa; Chordata; Aves; Apodiformes; Apodidae. The record is from RefSeq and is a predicted model, not a curated record. The transcript has 3 exons.
CCUAAUGACCAUCUUCAGGCCAGCUCAAAUGGGACAGUUCCCUCUGGGUCACACACACCUCCAGCAGAGAGCCCCACCUCCAUUUGCAGCUGGGUCCACUGCUGGCCAUGGGAAGGCAGGUAAGGAAGAAGGGAGCAGCAGCUGACACUACAAAGCUACAUGCACUGCUAAGGCUUGUGCUGCUACACUCAUGUCAAGAAAACUGCACAGACCUCAAGGCACUUGUAGAAAAUGAAAAAAUAAGUAUUAUUCAUGGAAGGAAUCACUGCACAGGCCUCAGUAACAAACCGACUAAAGAAAAGCCACACUGGCCACCCCUCAAGAUACAUUUCUGAACCAAUGGGCCAAACAGCACACCUGCACUCAGGUAAAUCCAGAGCUUGCUAACUUGCUAGCUUGCUGAACCCUUUGUCUAAAGGUUACAAAAGGUUACAAAGGUUACAAAAAGACAGCAUAUGAGACUGCAAAUUCUCUCCUUCCUUGGUGAAAAGAUAUUCUGAGCAAUGCUGUGACAAACUUUUUUCAGAUCACACGGCGUGCCAAUUUAAACAGCAAGUCUUCAACCAAAAGCAAAGGAGAGGGAUGUAGAGCACCAGUUUGUUUGAAUUUAUGCAAGAUGAUGCACCAAGGACAUGGCUGACAUAAAGAACAAAGAAGAACCCACCCAAACUGAAGAUUCUCUUACUGAUAUUCACAUUCGUCCAUGAAUUUCUGAACAGCAGCUUUCUACCUCCAGCUGGCUGUGCCAGUGACUACACUGACCAUGCUGGAUAAUUUCACGUUGAUUCAAAAAGCAAUUACAUAAUUCUGAGGAAAAAAAAAAAUCCAUGAAUAUAAAAUCCAGAAUACUACCUGAAAAGCAAGUUAUUGGAGGCCAGAAGCAGACAUAGGAGGAAGACCCAUAAUUCCCUUGCACUAUUCUUAAAAGUUUUGGAUGAUUCUAGUACCAUAAUUGUUUCCCUCUCCUGCAUUUGAUCCUCCCUGAAAUUGAACUGUGAGCAUUUUAGCCCAGGACAGGUACAAGAAGCUAGACAGCUCUGUGUGAGGUGCAGCCUUAGCUAUGCCAGGGUGCUCUGCUCCAAGGGGCUGCAGGUACCAGUCAGUGCUGAAGCUUCUUUUAAAAUGAGAACAAAAAUGUGAGUGCAGAGGCUAAAAAAAGAGAAUGCUGAGAUAAGAGAAAACAGAUAAAGGAUUCAAAACAGAGAAGAAAUGGGAAUUUUAACAGAGUAUCAGUGGGUAGGCUUAGUGAAGUUUAUCAGAUUUGAAUAAAAGACAGGAUAGCUAUCAAUCCUCCAGAAGCUCUUAAGAGUUUAAACAGACAACAUAUUUGUUCUCAUUCAUGAGGAAAACAUCUUAAUUUGACAAGCAACCUCACUGAAAAUGCUCCCACUAGAGCCACUCAGCAAUGCCUCCUGUUUCCUUCUGAAAGUGAUUUUAAUGGCUCUGAAAGGUGCUGAGUCAGCAGAUAUUAGCACUGCAAACUUCUGAUGUUUGCAACCACCCAGGAAGCUCCAAGUUCAACUGUCAGUGCCUUUCUGCCUGGUCCUCUGGGCAGGGAAUGGCCCAUCCCGCAUUCAGAGCCAGCCACGACCACAUUGCCAAUGUGGCCCCACUGAGGUGGCAGCCUGCAUGGGGACAACACUCAAUGACAAGGAACUAAAUGAAAGUCACUAAUUAAUUUCACAUGAGUUACACAACAUCCAUCAGAAGAUGGUGCUUUGUCCUUGAAUUAAACUUCCAUUUUAAGAACCUGCACAUGCACUAAAAAUGUCCACACCACGAUUAAAGAUGCUGAAACAUCCGGAAGAGAAACACUCAAUUAUUUCUAAAUCCAUUAAUAGCAUCAUUAUGGUGAAAUUAUGUGGGAUUCAGAACAUAUUUACAUUCAUUUUGAGGGUUACCUAGAGCCUUGAAAAACAGAAGUUCAAAGCAAUUUCAAGUAGAUUUUAAUUAUAAAUAAAAGACUCCGUGAGACAACUUCUACAGUGCAAGCAGCAGCAUUAAAUUAGUGGAGGCAGCCAUCAGUGUAAAAAUAAUUUUAAUUUCAUUAACUCCUAUUGAGGAAAAGAAUUUUUUUUCUCUAGCAGUUACAAUUCUCUUCUAUACCUGCCUCUUAUCCACGCCUUCCAUUCAAUGAAAAAGGACUCAGGACCAGAGAUCUAAGCACAUCACCAACUUAGCACAUCACAGUCAUUUAUCACUUAGGAGUUGCCCCCACACACAGGUUUAAUUCCACAGGAAACAGGAGGCCACAUGUGCAGCCUAAGGAUAUAAAAGGAGGGGCAGAGAGAAACGGGUUUGUUUAAGUUGGAGAAGUUUAGAGGGAGAUCUUGCAAUUUUUCAGUAUCUAAAUGGGUCAUACAGGGAGGCUGGAGGGCAGCUCUUCUCAGAAGAGCACAGCAAAAAGAGAAGAGGCAACGGGCACAGAUUGUGACAAAGGAAAAAUAGUUUUACAGUGAGUGGCUAAACACUGGAACAGGUUGCUCAGACAGUAAAAUCUUUGGUUAAGACUCUAUUUUGGUUGAUAAAA